This 394-nucleotide ribosomal RNA is filed under the name uncultured bacterium. RNAcentral describes it as "partial 16S ribosomal RNA". It matches the Rfam family "Bacterial small subunit ribosomal RNA", at positions 523 to 918 of the family's 1533-position model. The record is from RNAcentral.
AUACGUAGGGAGCGAGCGUUGUCCGGAAUUACUGGGCGUAAAGGGCGCGUAGGCGGCGCUUCAAGUCGUCUGUCAAAUGGGAGGGCUUAACCCUUUUUCGCAGACGAAACUGGAGAGCUUGAGAAGCAGAGAGGCAAACAGAAUUCCUGGUGUAGCGGUGAAAUGCGUAGAUAUCAGGAAGAAUACCAGUGGCGAAGGCGGUUUGCUGGCUGCAUACUGCCGCGGAAGCGCGAAAGCCAGGGGAGCAAACGGGAUUAGAUACCCCGGUAGUCCUGGCCGUAAACGAUGAAUGCUAGGUGUGGGUGUCGAGAGGCAUCCGUGCCGGAGUUAACGCGAUAAGCAUUCCGCCUGGGGAGUACGAUCGCAAGAUUGAAACUCAAAGGAAUUGACGGGG